CCUACGGGUGGCAGCAGUGGGGAAUAUUGGACAAUGGGCGAAAGCCUGAUCCAGCCAUGCCGCGUGUGUGAAGAAGGCCUUCGGGUUGUAAAGCACUUUCAGUGGGGAAGAAAGCCUUGGGGCUAAUACCCUCGAGGAAGGACAUCACCCACAGAAGAAGCACCGGCUAACUCCGUGCCAGCAGCCGCGGUAAUACGGAGGGUGCGAGCGUUAAUCGGAAUUACUGGGCGUAAAGCGCGCGUAGGCGGUCUGAUAAGCCGGUUGUGAAAGCCCCGGGCUCAACCUGGGAACGGCAUCCGGAACUGUCAGGCUAGAGUGCAGGAGAGGAAGGUAGAAUUCCCGGUGUAGCGGUGAAAUGCGUAGAGAUCGGGAGGAAUACCAGUGGCGAAGGCGGCCUUCUGGACUGACACUGACGCUGAGGUGCGAAAGCGUGGGUAGCAAACAGGAUUAGAUACCCGGGCAGUC
This 465-nucleotide ribosomal RNA is filed under the name Vreelandella stevensii. RNAcentral's name for it is "partial 16S ribosomal RNA". It matches the Rfam family "Bacterial small subunit ribosomal RNA", at positions 338 to 795 of the family's 1533-position model. Lineage: Bacteria; Pseudomonadati; Pseudomonadota; Gammaproteobacteria; Oceanospirillales; Halomonadaceae. The record is from RNAcentral.